AUGUCAUGAUGAGGACACUUGCGCAAUAGAUCUUUGCAUCAUUCCCAGGCUUCAUAUAAUGACUCAUUCUCAACUUGGAUAAACGUAAUAAUAUCAUUCCUUAGCUU
Carya illinoinensis is the source of this 107-nucleotide small nucleolar RNA. The record is from RefSeq and is a predicted model, not a curated record. NCBI's taxonomy places the organism in Eukaryota, Viridiplantae, Streptophyta, Magnoliopsida, Fagales, Juglandaceae.